This is a long non-coding RNA of Phycodurus eques (leafy seadragon), 2144 nucleotides long. RefSeq lists it as uncharacterized. The record is from RefSeq and is a predicted model, not a curated record. The transcript is spliced from 6 exons. NCBI's taxonomy places the organism in Eukaryota, Metazoa, Chordata, Actinopteri, Syngnathiformes, Syngnathidae.
GAGGAAAAGCCCACUGGAAGCCUCUGCGCAUGCAUGGAUUUUUAUUUAUUUAUUUAUUGCUAACCAACUCAUCCACCUGCGCAGUGCACACGGAGGAGAAGCCCCCUGAAACGCACGCCACCUAUCUUCACGGGAGGGGAUAAUUGAGGGGAGCCAAACUGAAACCAACUAUGUCCACGCUGAGUUUGUGUGUGUGUGUGUGUGUGUGUGUGUGUGUGUGUGUGUGUGUGGACCGGGAGAAACUUGAAGCGUCCACGCCAGCCGCAAUCAGUAAGGAUUCUUAUUUCAAAUAUUGUAUUUACAUUUGGUGUUUUUGGCAGAAAUGUGCGUGUACUUAGUCCGCGUCAUUGACCGCAAACCGUUGGAUAAUCGCCAGAAACUGCAGUUAUUCAAUCUAAAAUGACCCCCCCCCCCCCCUGUAAAAUGGAAUAGUAGCAAUUAGUGCGCUUAUUUAUUGAUUGAUUGACUUAAUAACUCGCAAAUUAUUUUGGUAAAAUAAAACAGUUUAACUCUUGAAUUUGUAUGUAUUUUUUUCCUGAUGGAAACAAUCGACGGUAACAAAUAAAAUGAUUUUGUCAGUCGAUCAAAUGUCAAUAUUUGUGGCAUUCGUUUUAAAAGGUGUGGAUAAGAUACGUUACAAUUAUGAUUUGUAAUUAUAUCAAUUUUAUUUGAGAGAGUACAACAUCCUGGCACUGCAUGCAAGGACACAUUUAUGUGUAAAUGUAAUACGGGGGAGAAUAAUUAGCAUUUUACUGAAUUGCACAUUUUUAGCGCCAGAUAAUAAUUAAUACAAAUCAAACUAAAAUCUAAAUUUAUGAUUUUGCACUAAAAUCACGAACUAUAUUCCAACAGUGACACACACAGCUAUUUUAGAUGGGCUCUGGCGCCACUUAAAAAAGUAGAAAAAAAAGAGGGUGGAAUAAAAAGCAUAAAGUGACAUAAAGUGUCCGCGGAGCUGCACGAGUCCCUGCAGGAAUAUUAUGCGAAUAUCAUCGACAUUUUCUAGGUUUAUUAGAGUGAUUCUCGCUUCUGGAGGCCACUUAAGAGGAUGAACCCCACAUUUAUUAAAGAAGUCAACCAUUUCACACAAGCACAUCUCUCUCUCUCUCUCUCUCUCUGUCUCUCUCUCGCUCUCACACGCUCGCGCGCACACACAUGCUCACACACAGAAACAGACAGAGCGAGAGCGAGAGAGAGAGAGAGAGAGAGAGAGAGCAAGCCCCGCCCACGCCGCGAGUCGAUUGGCUAUGUAAAUAAAGGGUUAUUUUGUGUCCCUUCCUUUUGCAGGUCGCUACUGGAUAGCUAAUUAAAUCAUCAAUCAGUCCCCCUCCUCGUUUUUAAAUCCACAAAAAAACUUAGAUGCAGGCUGACUGUUACACUUACAGAAAGAAAAAUGUACAAGGUUUGAUCGAACAAUUCUUCUUCUUAUUAUUAUUAUUAUUAUUAUGAUUAUUUCUUUAGCGCGGCGAGUGACGUUUUACCGGAGAGACUCAGAUUUUUAGUGUGUCUGCAGGCAGAAGACCAAGAAUAUCCCAAAUUCUCUGUAUGUCAAAGGCAGCCACAAAUUUAGGUCCAAUUUCAGAGAAGCUGUGUUGAUCAAAUUGAACUUGCAGCACAAGAUGACAGCAAGGAAGCAACACAUACAUUUAAAGGAAAGCAUGAGUGAAGGUUUGGCCUGUGACAUGACGAUUAACCUCCACAGCUCCGGAAGGCCAGCUUUGCAACAUCAAACUGAGCAUCUCUCGACGGGCUUCGGCUCUGUUAGCCGCCAACGCCACGCCGCAGAGAUUGACGGACAAUUAAAGAGCAGAAGGCGACUGCCGGGGCGUGUGAUGUGUAAGGGAUCCUCCAACACGUAAAAUAAAGAGUUUACAUUGGUUUCUGAUCUCCCUUGCUCGGAUAAGAAGGAGAAGAAGCUUGCCGAGGCACAAACAAAUAUUUGCACUGAGAGCUAUUGAUUUUGCAUCUUCUCAGCUAUUCACUUACUCACAGUGUGCUGCCACCACCAGACACACACACACACACACACACUGAUACAAACAGCUGCAUGUGAAAUGAAGCCGCUGAUGCUGGAUUGAGUAAAUAAAGAAUUUAAGAAAACUGUACAUUCUGCAGACCUUCAAUGAUAACUUCACUUUAUAAGG